Molecule: ribosomal RNA, 301 nt
Filed under: uncultured beta proteobacterium
Lineage: Bacteria; Pseudomonadati; Pseudomonadota; Betaproteobacteria
Description: bacterial SSU rRNA
Rfam family: Bacterial small subunit ribosomal RNA
Source: RNAcentral
AAUACCUGGGGGGGAUGACGGUACCGGAAGAAUAAGCACCGGCUAACUACGUGCCAGCAGCCGCGGUAAUACGUAGGGUGCAAGCGUUAAUCGGAAUUACUGGGCGUAAAGCGUGCGCAGGCGGUUCGCUAAGACAGAUGUGAAAUCCCCGGGCUUAACCUGGGAACUGCAUUUGUGACUGGCGGGCUAGAGUAUGGCAGAGGGGGGUAGAAUUCCACGCGUAGCAGUGAAAUGCGUAGAGAUGUGGAGGAAUACCGAUGGCGAAGGCAGCCCCCUGGGCCAAUACUGACGCUCAUGCACG